UACGGAGGAUGCAAGCGUUAUCCGGAUUUAUUGGGUUUAAAGGGUGCGUAGGCUGUGCGGAAAGUCAGAGGUGAAAGCCCGGGGCUCAACUCCGGAACUGCCUUUGAUACUUCCGUGCUGGAAUACGGAUGCCGUGGGAGGAAUGAGUAGUGUAGCGGUGAAAUGCAUAGAUAUUACUCAGAACACCGAUUGCGAAGGCAUCUCACGAAUCCGUUAUUGACGCUGAGGCACGAAAGCGUGGGGAUCGAAC
RNAcentral lists this ribosomal RNA (250 nucleotides) under uncultured prokaryote. RNAcentral's name for it is "partial 16S ribosomal RNA". It matches the Rfam family "Bacterial small subunit ribosomal RNA", at positions 524 to 773 of the family's 1533-position model. The record is from RNAcentral.